GGUGGGGUUCCCGAGCGGCCAAAGGGAGCAGACUGUAAAUCUGCCGUCAUCGACUUCGAAGGUUCGAAUCCUCCCCCACCACCA
This 84-nucleotide transfer RNA is filed under the name Klebsiella pneumoniae. RNAcentral's name for it is "tRNA-Tyr". It matches the Rfam family "tRNA". From Rfam's summary of the family: Transfer RNA (tRNA) molecules are approximately 80 nucleotides in length. RNAcentral also lists the same sequence under 1 other name. Lineage: Bacteria; Pseudomonadati; Pseudomonadota; Gammaproteobacteria; Enterobacterales; Enterobacteriaceae. The record is from RNAcentral.